Molecule: ribosomal RNA, 253 nt
Filed under: uncultured bacterium
Lineage: Bacteria
Description: partial 16S ribosomal RNA
Rfam family: Bacterial small subunit ribosomal RNA
Source: RNAcentral
UACGUAGGGGGCAAGCGUUGUCCGGAAUCAUUGGGCGUAAAGAGCGUGUAGGCGGCCACACAGGUCUGCUGUGAAAACUCGAGGCUCAACCUCGAGCUGUCGGUGGAAACCGUGUGGCUAGAGUCCGGAAGAGGCGAGUGGAAUUCCUGGUGUAGCGGUGAAAUGCGCAGAUAUCAGGAGGAACACCAAUUGCGAAGGCAGCUCGCUGGGACGUUACUGACGCUGAGACGCGAAAGCGUGGGGAGCAAACAGG